RNAcentral lists this ribosomal RNA (1095 nucleotides) under uncultured Symbiodinium. RNAcentral describes it as "partial Bacterial large subunit ribosomal RNA". It matches the Rfam family "Bacterial large subunit ribosomal RNA", at positions 1 to 1157 of the family's 2925-position model. The record is from RNAcentral. Lineage: Eukaryota; Dinophyceae; Suessiales; Symbiodiniaceae.
UGGAAGGGCAUUUAGUGGAUGCCUUGGCGAUAAGAGGCGAUGAAGGACGUGGUACGCUGCGUUAAGCCAUGGGGAGCUGCGAACAAGCUUUGAUCCAUGGAUAUCCGAAUGGGGAAACCCGGCCCGCAAGGGUCAUCAUUAUCUGAAUACAUAGGGUAAUGAGGCGAACCUGGGGAACUGAAACAUCUAAGUACCCAGAGGAAAGGACAUCAAUUGAGACUUCCUUAGUAGUGGCGAGCGAACGGGAACCAGGCCAGUGGCUUUAGUGAGACAACCGGAACCGUUUGGAAAGACGGGCCAUAGUGGGUGACAGCCCCGUACGGGUAAUUCGAACUUUAGUCCUCGAGUAGGGCGGGACACGUGAAAUCCUGUCUGAACAUGGGGGGACCAUCCUCCAAGCCUAAGUACUCCUUAUCGACCGAUAGUGAACAAGUACCGUGAGGGAAAGGUGAAAAGCACCCCGACGAGGGGAGUGAAACAGUUCCUGAAACUGGAUGCCUACAAACAGUUGGAGCCCAAGGUUCGUCCUGGGUGACAGCGUACCUUUUGUAUAAUGGGUCAGCGAGUUAAUUUUGCGAGCAAGCUUAAGCCGUUAGGUGUAGGCGUAGCGAAAGCGAGUCUUAAUAGGGCGACUAAGUUUGUUGGAUUAGACCCGAAACCGAGUGAUCUAGGUAUGAGCAGGUUGAAGGUGCAGUAACAUGCACUGGAGGACCGAACCCACGCCUGUUGAAAAAGGCGGGGAUGACUUGUGCCUAGGGGUGAAAGGCCAAUCAAACUCGGAAAUAGCUGGUUCUCCGCGAAAUCUAUUUAGGUAGAGCGUCGUGUGAUCACCUUCGGGGGUAGAGCACUGGAUGGGCUAGGGGGGCGCGAGCCUUACCAAACCUAACCAAACUCCGAAUACCGAAGAGUGCAGCGCGGCAGACAGACGGCGGGUGCUAAGGUCCGUCGUCGAGAGGGAAACAGCCCAGACCGCCAGCUAAGGUCCCCAAGUCACGGCUAAGUGGGAAAGGAUGUGGGAAGACCAAGACAACCAGGAGGUUGGCUUAGAAGCAGCCACCCUUUAAAGAAAGCGUAACAGCUCACUGGUCUAGUUAA